UACGGAGGAUCCAAGCGUUAUCCGGAUUUAUUGGGUUUAAAGGGAGCGUAGGUUGACAUAUAAGUCAGCUGUGAAAGUUUACGGCUCAACCGUGAAAUUGCAGUUGAUACUGUAUGUCUUGAGUGUACAAGAGGUGGGCGGAAUUCGUGGUGUAGCGGUGAAAUGCUUAGAUAUCACGAAGAACUCCAAUUGCGAAGGCAGCUCACUGGGGUACAACUGACACUGAGGCUCGAAAGUGUGGGUAUCAAACAGGAUUAGAUACCCUGGUAGUCCACACAGUAAACGAUGAAUACUCGCUGUUUGCGAUAUACAGUAAGCGGCCAAGCGAAAGCAUUAAGUAUUCCACCUGGGGAGUACGCCGGCAACGGUGAAACUCAAAGGAAUUGACGGGGGCCCGCACAAGCGGAGGAACAUGUGGUUUAAUUCGAUGAUACGCGAGGAACCUUACCCGGGCUUGAAUUGCAGAGGAAUAUAGUUGAAAGAUUAUCGCCGCAAGGUCUCUGUGAAGGUGCUGCAUGGUUGCCGUCAGCUCGUGCCGUGAGGUGUCGGCUUAAGUGCCAUAACGAGCGCAACCCUUAUCAUUAGUUACUAACAGGUCAUGCUGAGGACUCUAGUGAGACUGCCGUCGUAAGAUGUGAGGAAGGUGGGGAUGACGUCAAAUCAGCACGGCCCUUACGUCCGGGGCUACACACGUGUUACAAUGGGGGGUACAGAGGGCAGCUACCGGGCGACCGGAUGCCAAUCCCAAAAACCUCUCUCAGUUCGGAUCGAAGUCUGCAACCCGACUUCGUGAAGCUGGAUUCGCUAGUAAUCGCGCAUCAGCCACGGCGCGGUGAAUACGUUCCCGGGCCU
This 852-nucleotide ribosomal RNA is filed under the name uncultured bacterium. RNAcentral's name for it is "SSU rRNA". It matches the Rfam family "Bacterial small subunit ribosomal RNA", at positions 524 to 1381 of the family's 1533-position model. The record is from RNAcentral.